UGGAUGAUGUGGAUUAAUUCGAUGCAACGCGAAAACCUUACUACCCUUGACAUGUUCGGAAUUCCGCAGAGAUGUGGAAGUGCUCGAAAGAGAACCGGAGCACAGGUGCUGCAUGGCUGUCGUCAGCUCGUGUCGUGAGAUGUUGGGUUAAGUCCCGCAACGAGCGCAACCCUUAUCCCUAGUUGCCGUCAGGUAAAGCUGGGAACUCUGGGGAGACUGCCGGUGAUAAACCGGAGGAAGGCGGGGAUGACGUCAAGUCCUCAUGGCCCUUACAUCCCGGGCUACACACGUGCUACAAUGGCAGGUACAGAGGGCUGCGAAGCCGCGAGGUGGAGCGAAUCCCAGAAAACCUGUCUCAGUCCGGAUUGAAGUCUGCAACUCGACUUCAUGAAGGCGGAAUCGCUAGUAACCGCGAAUCAGCAGGUCCGCGGUCGAAUACGUUCCCGGGCCUU
RNAcentral lists this ribosomal RNA (452 nucleotides) under uncultured Latescibacterota bacterium. RNAcentral's name for it is "bacterial SSU rRNA". It matches the Rfam family "Bacterial small subunit ribosomal RNA", at positions 933 to 1382 of the family's 1533-position model. Lineage: Bacteria; Pseudomonadati; Candidatus Latescibacterota. The record is from RNAcentral.